UACAGAAGUCUCAAGCGUUGUUCGGAUUCAUUGGGCGUAAAGGGUGCGUAGGUGGCGCCAUAAGUCGGGUGUGAAAUCUCGGGGCUUAACUCCGAAACUGCAUUCGAUACUGUGGUGCUCGAGGACUGGAGAGGAGACUGGAAUUCAUGGUGUAGCAGUGAAAUGCGUAGAGAUCAUGAGGAAGACCAGUGGCGAAGGCGGGUCUCUGGACAGUUCCUGACACUGAGGCACGAAGGCCAGGGGAGCAAACGGG
This 253-nucleotide ribosomal RNA is filed under the name uncultured bacterium. RNAcentral's name for it is "partial 16S ribosomal RNA". It matches the Rfam family "Bacterial small subunit ribosomal RNA", at positions 524 to 776 of the family's 1533-position model. The record is from RNAcentral.